GGGUGUGCUCUCAUGAUGGCAGGCUGUCACCUCGUUCCAGAGGGGUUGAGUCAACAUGAGCAAGGCUAGUCUCUUUUCUCUAUCAGUUCUCUGGCUAACAGAUAUGAAUUCCCUCUAAAUGAGAUUAAUAGUAUAAAGGUUUGAUAAACACGACCGUGAUGUUUCAUUCUUUCCUUAUAUGAGGGCAGUGCUGUAUACUUCUGUGCAGCCAAUCCUACCUCCUACCCUGUACAUUCUCUACACCGGUACACCAGUCUCUCCUCUCUGAUGCUGUGGGUUAACAACAUGAUGAAAGGACUUCUCAUCCACCUGGCUGUGUUCACCAUUUGGGUGAAAGCAUUGUCCAAAAGUCAAGUUCAUCAGGCUCCUCGUGAUCUUUUAACACAACCUGGAGAUGAUGUUCAGCUGAACUGCAGUCAUAAAAUUCCCAGUUAUGACACAAUAUUGU
Molecule: long non-coding RNA, 448 nt
Organism: Clupea harengus (Atlantic herring)
Lineage: Eukaryota; Metazoa; Chordata; Actinopteri; Clupeiformes; Clupeidae
Source: RefSeq, a predicted model, not a curated record